CGAGCGAAGCCGCGGAAAGAGACGAAGGACGCCUACGAAGGCCGCCGCGCCGCCUGAGGUCCUCUGAAGGCGAACGCUGAGGUAGCAGAGAGUGGAGGCAGUCACGGCAGAGUCACACGGGCGCGCCAGAAGGGCGUCUCACCAUGACCAGAAGACGAGCCACUGAUGUCGGAAAAAAGGCGCAUCUGAGGCCGAACUCCACGUCAAGACUGGACUGGGUUCCGCGUACGCAGUUGACGAGUCCCAGCAGUUCAGCGCUGACUUCUUUCUUUUCCACCUUUCGUUGUCAGAUCGCUCUGUGCGUCAUGCAGACAGUGUCUCGUUCUCUCUCCACGCUGCCGCCAUGGUGUCUGUCGCACACCCCUGCCUGGUCUUCUUUCUCGCCCAGCGUCUGUUUCCUCUCCACUCUCUCCCUCCUCGCUUUUCCCCUCCUCUCGCUCCACUCUGCUUGCCUCCCUUCGUCUCUCGCUGCCCUCUCCGUCGUCCUGCCAAGGCGACGCGGACGCAGCCUGCUCGUUUCGCCUCCUUCGGCGUCGAACUGCGUUCCUCCCGACUGUCAUGCGCGACGCGAGCUGAGACGCAGAAUGCAUGAUUGGUUGGCGCGUCUCGCCCACACGGCAUAUGAAGGACCUCAAGCGAGUUCUUGUUGAAUUCAAAAGAAUUCUAGAUAAAGCGACGCAUGAGUGUGCGACAAUGGAGACGAUCAACUGAGGCUGGAACGUCUGCGCCUGAAGGCGCCCUUGCAGAUCCACUCUGGCAGCGAAGGCAUGAACAGCGCGCGUCUCUUCCUUCCCUCCAGACUUCUCAUAAAACUUCCGAACGCGUGGUUCGUCCUUGUUUUCCUUCGCGUUCUGUUUCUUUUCCUCUCCCGGGUCUCUCGCUUAGUCUCGCUCCUGCUCUCCUUCGUCUUCGAAAGGCAAUCCUGCAGCAGUGGUGGCGUCCAUGUCGAUGUCGUCUUGAGGCGCCUCUCGUCUCUUGUCCAGAGACCCUGUGUGAAGUUUGGCAUCUUUUUCAGCAGCCUGUCUCUUUUCUCUCUCGUCCUUCCACUGCAAGACUCCGUUCGCUGCAUGCACAAAGACUCUGUUGUCCUCGUUCUCUCGCUCGUCGCCUCCUGUUUUCGUUGCUGGUGCGCGUUCCGGAAAACAUGGCUCGGCCCAAGCCUCCCCAGGCAGAGAGCAGCCAGGCGGCAGAAACACCGAGAACGCAUGUGCAUUCGUCCACAAGUCAUCUGCUGCAUCUGGUUUUUCUUCGUUUGCACCGCAUGCGUUGAGUUUCUCUUCACUCUCGUUCGUUUCUGGAAAGCGCCGCACAACUCGCCGCUCCCCUCCGGGCGCCUCAGACAUUCUUUGUUCGGGACUGCAUGCGCGAGGCGCCUCGUCGGCGCCUCCCGCGCCCCAGGUCUUCGUCGGCGAGUACGCACCAUCGCACUGAGGAAACCGGGGAGAUGAAGCAGCAGACAAGCCGCGUCUCUCGCCGCCACCGUCACCUUCAUCUCCCCCGUAUGCAUCUGUUUCUUCUCGUCGGGAGUUGUGGCGGAUCGCCUCCGUCGAAUGGGUCUCUUCGUCUCCGUCCUGACGUAGCCGUCGUUUCUCUCCCCUCGGUGGACAGCUCUCGGCUGUCGCCUUGGCACUUGGUUCUUCCCAGUUCUCUUCGCUUCUUCUGGAUGUCUCUGCCGUCUCGCGGAAACGUCUCCUCUCCCUUCCUCGUUGUCUGGCAGCCUCGCGGCUUUCUCGGCACGCCUCCACCUGUCGGCGAAUCUCAGACAGAAAUUGCUGCAGCUGGCAAAAGAACGCCGCGCCUUCUUCUUGCUCGUCCUGCAUUUCCAUCAAGACGUUUAGCCGCACUGACAGACUUGAGAAGACGGCGUUCGCCUCCAUCCGCAGUGCCUCGGAGGCGCGCGCCUUCUCCUCUCGCGUAAAAAGACACCAUGCCCCCUCGGAAACAGACAACGUCUCCCAGGACGUCGUCGCCUCUUCUAGUUGCGAUCCGUUCUUGGGCGGCGCCAAGAGUUGCUUGCUCCUCGCGAAGGAGAACAGAGUCGAAGAGUUCCCCUUCGUUCCGAGCUCGCAGGAGCAGGCUGUGUACGGCGUCGAGGUCAACGUCCUGAGAGCGAAACCAAAGAAAACAUGUUUCAAAGAGUCAUUUUUCUCCUUGGUUUCUGUGUCUCAGCUGGCUGACGGCUCUCUCUUCUCCUUUUCUGCCUUCUCGGUCCUCGCGGAUGGGUCUGCAAACGUCGUCAUUAUUUCCAGCCGUCUACAGUGUGCUUGGUUCUGUCCUGAGAGUCGCGCGUUUUCUCUUUGUUCCCUGUCUAAUUGCUCUUCUCGGUCUCUUCGGUCCUCUGCUCUGCGUUCCCCGCCGUCCUUCUCCUUCUUCUGUGUCACGACGUCUUGUGCUCUGUUCUCGCUCUUGUCGACCAUGUCUGUCUUCCUCUCAUUUGUGCUUGUCCGCGCCUCUCUCUCUCACCUCCUGAAUCCUGUUUGCUUCGCUUUGGAGAGCGUGGACGGCCGCCUCCAGGUUGGCUAGAGCCUGGUGUGUCAACUGCAGCUUCUCUUCUCUUUCUCGGAUCCUCGCGUCCCUCUCGGCCGCCCUCUGCGUGCGUUCUGUCUCCGUCUGUCGGCUCUGCAUACACGCCUCGAGCCUGGGGAGGAGACAGGCAAGAACCUCUGAGGGUGAGGCAGCUUUCAGAGUCGCGCGCAUGCAGAGCGCAGAGCCGCCGGAGUUGCGCGGAGCCUGCGCGCUUGAAGGGGGAGAACCGACCGCCGAAGGUGACGAGACGCGCGACGGCGGAGAGCGUAACGAAGAACAGAGGGGAACAGGGAGCACUGCCUCUCUCAGCUUCGCCUCCAGAGAAAGAUUCGCGCUCUGCGCUUGCUGAAGACGGAGCAAAGACGAGGGAAGACCAACCAAGAAAACGCGAUUCUCACAAACAGGAAAAGCGUCGACAGUCCACCCGACACACUGGAGAACGGUGACAUGCAUGUCGCUUCUGGAUGCUUCAAAACGCCCUGACUGUUCCCUCUCUCUGCAUGCACCUUUGCUGCGAUAUUUGUCAAGAGACACCCGAAACUGGGAAGCAAGUUCUGAGGCGGGCACCAGCAGCAUGAGGCUCUCCUCGUCUGACAGUCGAUCUCCGCUGUCGAGAUCUGAUUCGUUGCAGUUUCCUCGCGCGUCUGGCGUCCGUAGCCGUUCCUUUUUGUCGCUGGACGGGUCGCCGCUCUCCUCGCGAAAAGCCUCGUCGGCUGCUUCUUCAGCCUCCAAAAGGCGUUCGAUGUCAGCGAGUUGCCUCUGCGUCGCCACAGAGGCCUGCGCGAGGAGCGCCUGCUGUUCCUCGUAAGCGUCGAAGCCGCCUGCAGCUUGGACUGCCUGAAAAAGGACAUCCAAACCAAAACGCAGGAAUAGGCAGAGAUCCACUGCAUAGGAAGAACCUCUUCGUAUACCUGGCAUUCAACUCGAGCUAUAUGCCGACACCCAUACGCGUACAAACAUCGUUAUAUAUAUAUAUAUAUGUACAUAUAUAUUAUACGAAGAUAUAAGUACAUAUACGCAUGUUUGAGUGUGGGCAUCGCUGUGUGCCUGUCCACGACUAAACGAGUUUUUAAAGUGGAUGCACGCAGCGAUUUAUCAUGGCGUGAGUUGAGGCUUCAUUGCGCAUGUGGUGAGUUGCGGAAGAAGGACGAAACGCAGCAGCGGACAGAAGGCAUCCGCAAAUCGACAGGGUCCCGAGGCAGGAGCGACGCCAGCUGCGAGACGCGAGUCAGCUGCGAGACGCGAGCCAGCUGCGAGACGCGAGUCAGCUGCGAGACGCGAGUCAGCUGCGAGACGCGAGCCAGCUGCGAGACGCGAGUCAGCUGCGAGACGCGAGCCAGCUGCAUGCACGGUCCAGUGGUGCGUUGAAGACCGUGGCAAAGUGCGAGUCGUGGACGCUCUCUGUGAGCACAAAGCGAGCAACGCAGGACCCAGAUGGAGACGAAGACGAGCGCCUGUCAAAGAGAAACCGAGGGCAGUACCCUGAUCUGAUUCCAGAGGUGGGGAGGCAGUUCGAGAGUCAAGUCGGCGCGGGGCUGGUUGCGAACUUUCUUCUCCUCUUGAAGCUUCAGAGCGACCUCCCGCAACUGGUCGGGCAGCUGGCGCGCGAGAAGAAAAGACGAAACGCCAGAAAGCUCCUCAGACACGCGCUGCUUCAAGUCCCGAACGCCUGCCCGAUAUCUGCAGAUGGCGAAGAAGAGAAGUGACAGGAAAGAAGGACAAGAGACCAGAUCUGCGGGGGAGCGAGCGGCGCGCGGCGAGGCGUUGAAGGCGAGAGCAGAAGAGACACGAAAAACGAGAAGAGAGAGAUACGGCGAGACAGAGAGAGGUGAAUUGAACGCGAGCUCAAAAGCGAGAGGGAGAGCGACGAACCGGACCAACAUCGAGAGACAUCACACCACAGAAUCGAGCGCGAAGCAAAACGAGGUCGGGGGAGGGCAACGCAGCCAAAAACCGACGCAAACAACUCGUUAAAUGGGGACAGCGCUGAGACCCGCAGCUCCAUGAGUAGACUCUGAACGCAUCGAGGACAGACUCCGUUCCCCAAGAGCAUAGAAAAAGGACGCCAGACACAAAGUUACCUCGUGGCGUACUCCUCGCCCCUUAGGCGAACAGACGUCGGAAGAAGCUGACAGAGUUGCGCCGCGGCAUGCGCGUCCACGUCCUGCAAAUCCUGAAUGGCGACCGAAGAAAGCUCGACGCAGCACGCAUGCUCCAGAGGCGUCAAACGCGACGGAUCCGGUACGGCCUCCAGAUACACCUGAAUCCAGAGGCAAGUGCGACAACGAAAGACUGGAAAGUAAAUAAAACAAAGGGCGCCCGGUCGCGCGCUCUCCGCGGUGCCGCGAAGCCAGCAGCGCUAUUUUAUCAGCUCCACGUUCACCGUCUUUGACAUGGUGGAGGGAGUCGGCUCUCUCGCGUGGACUGUCGUUUUCACCCUUUCUAGGCAUUUUUUUUUCGCCUGCGUUCCACUUGAUCCUCUGCGACACUUGGCACUGUGACCCCAACAUCUCAAAGAAACUCCCGAGGCUUUUCUUCUGCCGGCCGCCCGCAAGUUCUCAAACCCCAGCAACACAGCCGAAGCCGCUCGGACGCCAUUUCACUUCCUGGACGCAACUGUCUCCGUGUACAAGCCGAUGGGCGUGGACGCGGCCGCGCAGGCUCCACAGGGCCUGCAGGGCCCGGCGUCAAGACGGUGACGACGAACAGCCGCUUGCCGUUGUGCUCUGCUCACCACGGCGUUGUCGCGUUCCAGUUGCUCGUGUGUCUGGACGAUGUGAGCAAAGAGACCGCUGAGGUUGCAUUUCAGCGAAUGCGCUUCGACGAGUGCAGCAGCUUGCGCAAGAAACUCCCGACAAACGCGAAGGCGCGCUACCAGGCGGCCGUAGCCUUCACCUGCCGAGACAACGCCGAGAGCAGAGAAUCGCUCAAAAGACAAGAGAAAGCCGCCAGGGACAUGUGCGUAGAAAACCCAUGAAACUGUUGAAAGUACCCUAGCAAACGCAAGACGCCACGACGUGCACAGAAUCGAUUGCUGAUCCUGGGUCGCGACUGAACAGCAUGCAGGCCAGCUGCAAGCGAGAUGAAAGCCGACGCAGUAAAAGUGAAAACGCAGAAGACGACAGUGAAAACGGAGAAGAAAAUGUGAAGUCACAGGCGGACCCAGCGCGGGCGACACGACGACAGAUACAGCGGGAGAGAGAAAGAGAGGAAAGGAGAGCGAGAGAGAAUGAAACAAAGGACGGAGAAGACUUUGAGACCCUCACCUUCCAUUUCGACUUGUUCUUGUUCGUACCGAGCGAGCUGAAAGUGAGCCGCGGCGAGGUAGGACAACUCUUGGCUUCUUGAAAGAAAACAGGAACAAGCAACUCUCAAGAAAAAACGCAUGACGGCCGCCUACCACAGGCGGCAGGGGAGAGACCACCGCGGCGGGGGAAUGCAUGCAGAGACCUUUCCACGCGUGAGGCAAGCGAGCAGCAAUGCCAAGAGAAAAAAAGCAGAAGGCGCGGCAAGAACAGAGAGCACACAACGAUGAGCGAGAACAGAGAGGAGUCAAGAUCCGAAGGAGCAAAGACGCCGAAGACAGGACAACUCAUCCACGAACAGAGGUCGUGAGACUGCAGCGCGUUAGGAGGGCGUUCUGUCGAGACAAAGCAGGCACAGAGAAUUGUCGGAUCACGCGGUUCGCAUGCAGAUCCGACCUUCAUUGGUCCUCACUUGAGCCAUGUCGCCAGCACACUGGCUUCUGUUUGUGGGCGAGAGUCUGCAGCGUCUCCACCGGUCGAUGCAGAGAGAGGAGACUGCAGCAGCAAACCUGGGAGAGAGAGAAACAACCGGAAGGAGACGCGCGAGAGAAGAGUGGAAGAGAACAGAGGGGAAGCGACGAAGGCGACAUGUGUAGCAAAGAGACUGAGAGAAAAAGGCUUCCAUCGGAAGUCGAAGGAACGGCCUUUCUCCGCAACGUCCGUGCCUCGUUUUUGCCGUCCUCUGCUCCUUCGGCAUCUCGGCCGAUUACCGCCAUACAGAAACGAUCGCCCAGGAGACGAACGAACUCUUCCACUGGCGUACUAUUAAACAUAUCCCAAUAUAGUCAAGCACUUCGAUACGCAUGCACUGGCGAACCAAUGCAAUCGUUUGUUGCUGCUCGCACACGGCCCGGAACGCAUGCAAAAACGGCGACUCGCGUCCACAUCGAUUCGCACCUACACAGAUGUAAACGAGUUGAAACACAGAAGGGUACUUUCAGAUAUGCGCA
This 6781-nucleotide long non-coding RNA is filed under the name Toxoplasma gondii VEG. The record is from RNAcentral. Lineage: Eukaryota; Apicomplexa; Conoidasida; Eucoccidiorida; Sarcocystidae.